CCUACGGGGGGCUGCAGUGGGGAAUAUUGGACAAUGGGGGCAACCCUGAUCCAGCCAUGCCGCGUGUGUGAAGAAGGCCCUCGGGUUGUAAAGCACUUUCAGUGAGGAAGAACGCCUGGUGGUUAAUACCCAUCAGGAAAGACAUCACUCACAGAAGAAGCACCGGCUAACUCCGUGCCAGCAGCCGCGGUAAUACGGAGGGUGCGAGCGUUAAUCGGAAUUACUGGGCGUAAAGCGCGCGUAGGUGGCUUGAUAAGCCGGUUGUGAAAGCCCCGGGCUCAACCUGGGAACGGCAUCCGGAACUGUCAAGCUAGAGUGCAGGAGAGGAAGGUAGAAUUCCCGAUGUAGCGGUGAAAUGCGUAGAGAUCGGGAGGAAUACCAGUGGCGAAGGCGGCCUUCUGGACUGACACUGACACUGAGGUGCGAAAGCGUGGGUAGCAAACAGGAUUAGAUACCCCAGUAGUC
RNAcentral lists this ribosomal RNA (465 nucleotides) under Vreelandella stevensii. RNAcentral's name for it is "partial 16S ribosomal RNA". It matches the Rfam family "Bacterial small subunit ribosomal RNA", at positions 338 to 795 of the family's 1533-position model. The record is from RNAcentral. Lineage: Bacteria; Pseudomonadati; Pseudomonadota; Gammaproteobacteria; Oceanospirillales; Halomonadaceae.